Molecule: ribosomal RNA, 2925 nt
Filed under: Escherichia coli
Lineage: Bacteria; Pseudomonadati; Pseudomonadota; Gammaproteobacteria; Enterobacterales; Enterobacteriaceae
Description: 23S ribosomal RNA
Rfam family: Bacterial large subunit ribosomal RNA
Source: RNAcentral
GGGUUGUGAGGUUAAGCGACUAAGCGUACACGGUGGAUGCCCUGGCAGUCAGAGGCGAUGAAGGACGUGCUAAUCUGCGAUAAGCGUCGGUAAGGUGAUAUGAACCGUUAUAACCGGCGAUUUCCGAAUGGGGAAACCCAGUGUGUUUCGACACACUAUCAUUAACUGAAUCCAUAGGUUAAUGAGGCGAACCGGGGGAACUGAAACAUCUAAGUACCCCGAGGAAAAGAAAUCAACCGAGAUUCCCCCAGUAGCGGCGAGCGAACGGGGAGCAGCCCAGAGCCUGAAUCAGUGUGUGUGUUAGUGGAAGCGUCUGGAAAGGCGCGCGAUACAGGGUGACAGCCCCGUACACAAAAAUGCACAUAUUGUGAGCUCGAUGAGUAGGGCGGGACACGUGGUAUCCUGUCUGAAUAUGGGGGGACCAUCCUCCAAGGCUAAAUACUCCUGACUGACCGAUAGUGAACCAGUACCGUGAGGGAAAGGCGAAAAGAACCCCGGCGAGGGGAGUGAAAAAGAACCUGAAACCGUGUACGUACAAGCAGUGGGAGCCUCUUUUAUGGGGUGACUGCGUACCUUUUGUAUAAUGGGUCAGCGACUUAUAUUCUGUAGCAAGGUUAACCGAAUAGGGGAGCCGAAGGGAAACCGAGUCUUAACUGGGCGUUAAGUUGCAGGGUAUAGACCCGAAACCCGGUGAUCUAGCCAUGGGCAGGUUGAAGGUUGGGUAACACUAACUGGAGGACCGAACCGACUAAUGUUGAAAAAUUAGCGGAUGACUUGUGGCUGGGGGUGAAAGGCCAAUCAAACCGGGAGAUAGCUGGUUCUCCCCGAAAGCUAUUUAGGUAGCGCCUCGUGAAUUCAUCUCCGGGGGUAGAGCACUGUUUCGGCAAGGGGGUCAUCCCGACUUACCAACCCGAUGCAAACUGCGAAUACCGGAGAAUGUUAUCACGGGAGACACACGGCGGGUGCUAACGUCCGUCGUGAAGAGGGAAACAACCCAGACCGCCAGCUAAGGUCCCAAAGUCAUGGUUAAGUGGGAAACGAUGUGGGAAGGCCCAGACAGCCAGGAUGUUGGCUUAGAAGCAGCCAUCAUUUAAAGAAAGCGUAAUAGCUCACUGGUCGAGUCGGCCUGCGCGGAAGAUGUAACGGGGCUAAACCAUGCACCGAAGCUGCGGCAGCGACGCUUAUGCGUUGUUGGGUAGGGGAGCGUUCUGUAAGCCUGUGAAGGUGUGCUGUGAGGCAUGCUGGAGGUAUCAGAAGUGCGAAUGCUGACAUAAGUAACGAUAAAGCGGGUGAAAAGCCCGCUCGCCGGAAGACCAAGGGUUCCUGUCCAACGUUAAUCGGGGCAGGGUGAGUCGACCCCUAAGGCGAGGCCGAAAGGCGUAGUCGAUGGGAAACAGGUUAAUAUUCCUGUACUUGGUGUUACUGCGAAGGGGGGACGGAGAAGGCUAUGUUGGCCGGGCGACGGUUGUCCCGGUUUAAGCGUGUAGGCUGGUUUUCCAGGCAAAUCCGGAAAAUCAAGGCUGAGGCGUGAUGACGAGGCACUACGGUGCUGAAGCAACAAAUGCCCUGCUUCCAGGAAAAGCCUCUAAGCAUCAGGUAACAUCAAAUCGUACCCCAAACCGACACAGGUGGUCAGGUAGAGAAUACCAAGGCGCUUGAGAGAACUCGGGUGAAGGAACUAGGCAAAAUGGUGCCGUAACUUCGGGAGAAGGCACGCUGAUAUGUAGGUGAAGUCCCUUGCGGAUGGAGCUGAAAUCAGUCGAAGAUACCAGCUGGCUGCAACUGUUUAUUAAAAACACAGCACUGUGCAAACACGAAAGUGGACGUAUACGGUGUGACGCCUGCCCGGUGCCGGAAGGUUAAUUGAUGGGGUCAGCGCAAGCGAAGCUCUUGAUCGAAGCCCCGGUAAACGGCGGCCGUAACUAUAACGGUCCUAAGGUAGCGAAAUUCCUUGUCGGGUAAGUUCCGACCUGCACGAAUGGCGUAAUGAUGGCCAGGCUGUCUCCACCCGAGACUCAGUGAAAUUGAACUCGCUGUGAAGAUGCAGUGUACCCGCGGCAAGACGGAAAGACCCCGUGAACCUUUACUAUAGCUUGACACUGAACAUUGAGCCUUGAUGUGUAGGAUAGGUGGGAGGCUUAGAAGUGUGGACGCCAGUCUGCAUGGAGCCGACCUUGAAAUACCACCCUUUAAUGUUUGAUGUUCUAACGUUGACCCGUAAUCCGGGUUGCGGACAGUGUCUGGUGGGUAGUUUGACUGGGGCGGUCUCCUCCUAAAGAGUAACGGAGGAGCACGAAGGUUGGCUAAUCCUGGUCGGACAUCAGGAGGUUAGUGCAAUGGCAUAAGCCAGCUUGACUGCGAGCGUGACGGCGCGAGCAGGUGCGAAAGCAGGUCAUAGUGAUCCGGUGGUUCUGAAUGGAAGGGCCAUCGCUCAACGGAUAAAAGGUACUCCGGGGAUAACAGGCUGAUACCGCCCAAGAGUUCAUAUCGACGGCGGUGUUUGGCACCUCGAUGUCGGCUCAUCACAUCCUGGGGCUGAAGUAGGUCCCAAGGGUAUGGCUGUUCGCCAUUUAAAGUGGUACGCGAGCUGGGUUUAGAACGUCGUGAGACAGUUCGGUCCCUAUCUGCCGUGGGCGCUGGAGAACUGAGGGGGGCUGCUCCUAGUACGAGAGGACCGGAGUGGACGCAUCACUGGUGUUCGGGUUGUCAUGCCAAUGGCACUGCCCGGUAGCUAAAUGCGGAAGAGAUAAGUGCUGAAAGCAUCUAAGCACGAAACUUGCCCCGAGAUGAGUUCUCCCUGACUCCUUGAGAGUCCUGAAGGAACGUUGAAGACGACGACGUUGAUAGGCCGGGUGUGUAAGCGCAGCGAUGCGUUGAGCUAACCGGUACUAAUGAACCGUGAGGCUUAACCUUACAACGCCGAAG